UUCAACUGAACACUUUACACCCUUAAUGCCACACCCCGUGAAUACAAAUGGGAGAGAGAAAUCGUUAAGAGGCCCAGCAUCAUGAAACUACCUUAUAGGUCGGGGAGAUUUGGUAAUGGUGGUGGUUGUGGGAUGCCGGGCUCGUAUGUGAGUAAAGAGGCUCAGUGGUCCGGCAGCUUAUAGAGGGGACACUGUUACUGUGAACAGAGCUGUGGACCUGCUUGGACUCAUUUAACAUCUGCUGCAGAGAACAGCUGGACAGAGGAUCAUCACCCUGGUGAGAGGAGGAAAGAGCUCAUUUAAUUGGGAGAAGGCUGUAACUUCAUAUUUAAUGUGGACACAUACAGUAAAGUGGGUAUCAAUCUUCUUAUUUAACUCUAAGAAAGCAAAUACAUGAAUGACUAUUCCUUUAAAAUGUUGACCAUUUGUGUUUCACUGGUGAUAUACAUUGUGGGUUCAUAAGUACGUUAUUGAAACUUCUCUGAUGUUUGAAUUUACAAAGCUAAUUUCAAUAUGGGCUCUGUUUCUGUCUUACAUCAAUGGAGUGUUCUGAGAAGUCUUGCAGGUCACUGUUCACCCUGGUGUGCAGAUUGGCUGCUGGUGGAGAGGCGGCGUCAUUUAAAAGUCUGGAGUUCUUCACUCUGAGUGAUGGAGGGGACCGGCUGUCCACACAGAGACAUCUUAACUCCUCCUGACUGAGACAGAAAAGAAAAAGAUUCUGUUUAUGGAGAAGCCUGAAGAUUCAGAUCACCACUACUCCACACCAUGUGUGCUACAUUUAUGCUUCCCGCUCUCGACUGUUUCAUGUUCCUCUGUUAUCAGGUGUUCUAACCCUCAUCCUCAGUUUUCUCUCAUUGUCCCCACCACAAUGCUCACCAACUCAGUAGCUUUUCUAUAGCAAUAAGUUAUGAAAUUUGCACAUUAAUUACCUGCCCGGUGUUCCCUGACUGUUCUUCUCCCUCAGAAUCUCACGGGUACUCUCCAGGUUUAACUGCAGCAGCUGCAGUUUAGGAUUUGCUUUCAACAAGUUAUGGACCCGACAUUGACCCUGUGCCAUAGACUGCAGGAGCACUCUGAGGUAUGCUGCCAAACCAGAAAUGCCCUUCUGACGUCAACAAAUGUCUGAGGACAGGAAUGUGGAACGAUGCAUUUCCUAAUCUGUGAUUUAACAAGGUGCAGCUCUGACAUGGUGCGUUCCUGUUUGGAGCGAGCCAGUUCCAGCAGCUCGUCUCUCCAGCUGUCUCCCUCACCUGGUGACAAACAUGAAGCGCAAACAUUCGGUUUUCAGACUCGGAGGUGUCUGAUAACAGCACAGAUUAAGAUCAAGAAAUGAAGACCGGAUUAUACUCAUUGCACUCACAUGAAACUUAAACAUUAUCUCCACGUAUGCUUUACACAGUAACCACUAACUAUUGUAUAGUGCUUAAUUGAUAAAUAUCUCUUGAUAGUUUCAAAAUUCAAAUAUUCAUGACACUGUUUGAAUUAACACUGUUAGUUAAUUGAAAACAAAAACAGUUCUAAGCUACAGCUCUUCAAUACUUGAUAUGAUAGUUAGAUUUAUCUGGAUCAAUUGCAUGUUGUGUUCACCACCACUAGCAUUUCUUGUAUUUUGCGGUGUAUAAAUGAAUUCACUUCACCAGCAAAGGGCCAAAAAUAGGAGCACAAUGUACAACAUAAAACACAAUAAUUACAAAACACAUAUAAUUGAUAAUGAAUACAAAUUUAAAAAAAGAUAUUCAAGAACCAGAAAACACAUAACAUCAAACAGUAAGUAAGUUUGGUAAAAUAACAGCAUUAAAUAUUGCAAAAUAAAAACCAAUGUGGGGUGGAUUCAAAUUCUUAAUGAAUAAAUACACAUAAUGGAUAAAUAAAAUCCCUAAACAGUUAAUAAUGACAACAUAUCUUAAUAUUUCGACCAAAUAAAUAGUUUUGAAUCAUUGACAGGAAGAGGAUGGAUUUGGAGUGCUGCGGUUUAUUGUACCUGACAAGGCCAGAUCUCUGCGCAGCAGCUGGAGCUCCUGUUUCAGGCGGAUGAUCUCCUCCCUCUGAGUGCUGCUCUGUGUAACCUGCUGCUGCAGAUCCUCUACAAACACAGGAGAGAAUAAUACAACAAUAGAUGAAAUAAUGAGAUACUUAAUGAAUUAGUCAAUCAACAGAAAAUAUGUUUUUCUAAUUAAAAUUAAAUUACCUUUAAGGUGUGUGAUCUCA
Long non-coding RNA from Eleginops maclovinus (Patagonian blennie), 2208 nucleotides. RefSeq lists it as uncharacterized. The transcript has 3 exons. The record is from RefSeq and is a predicted model, not a curated record. Lineage: Eukaryota; Metazoa; Chordata; Actinopteri; Perciformes; Eleginopidae.